GACGAACGCUGGCGGCGUGCCUAAUACAUGCAAGUCGAACGCACUCUCGUUUAGAUUGAAGGAGUUUGCUCCUGAUUGAUAAACAUUUGAGUGAGUGGCGGACGGGUGAGUAACACGUGGGUAACCUGCCCUAAAGUGGGGGAUAACAUUUGGAAACAGAUGCUAAUACCGCAUAAAACCUAACACCGCAUGGUGUAGGGUUGAAAGAUGGUUUCGGCUAUCACUUUAGGAUGGACCCGCGGUGCAUUAGUUAGUUGGUGAGGUAAAGGCUCACCAAGACCGUGAUGCAUAGCCGACCUGAGAGGGUAAAUCGGCCACACUGGGACUGGGACACGGCCCAGACUCCUACGGGAGGCAGCAGUAGGGAAUCUUCCACAAUGGACGAAAAGUCUGAUGGAGCAACGCCGCGUGAGUGAAGAAGGUUUUCGGAUCGUAAAACUCUGUUGUUGGAGAAGAAUGUAUCUGAUAGUAACUGAUCAGGUAGUGACGGUAUCCAACCAGAAAGCCACGG
This 511-nucleotide ribosomal RNA is filed under the name uncultured bacterium. RNAcentral describes it as "bacterial SSU rRNA". It matches the Rfam family "Bacterial small subunit ribosomal RNA", at positions 28 to 496 of the family's 1533-position model. The record is from RNAcentral.